RNAcentral lists this ribosomal RNA (520 nucleotides) under uncultured bacterium. RNAcentral describes it as "bacterial SSU rRNA". It matches the Rfam family "Bacterial small subunit ribosomal RNA", at positions 120 to 674 of the family's 1533-position model. The record is from RNAcentral.
GGGAAUCUACCGAGCCCUGCGGAAUAGCUCCGGGAAACUGGAAUUAAUACCGCAUACGCCCUACGGGGGAAAGAUUUAUCGGGGUUUGAUGAGCCCGCGUUGGAUUAGCUAGUUGGUGGGGUAAAGGCCUACCAAGGCGACGAUCCAUAGCUGGUCUGAGAGGAUGAUCAGCCACAUUGGGACUGAGACACGGCCCAAACUCCUACGGGAGGCAGCAGUGGGGAAUAUUGGACAAUGGGCGCAAGCCUGAUCCAGCCAUGCCGCAUGAGUGAUGAAGGCCCUAGGGUUGUAAAGCUCUUUCAACGGUGAAGAUAAUGACGGUAACCGUAGAAGAAGCCCCGGCUAACUUCGUGCCAGCAGCCGCGGUAAUACGAAGGGGGCUAGCGUUGUUCGGAAUUACUGGGCGUAAAGCGCACGUACGCGGAUAUUUAAGUCAGGGGUGAAAUCCCGGGGCUCAACCUCGGAACUGCCUUUGAUACUGGGUAUCUUGAGUAUGGAAGAGGUAAGUGGAAUUGCGAGU